Molecule: ribosomal RNA, 253 nt
Filed under: uncultured bacterium
Lineage: Bacteria
Description: partial 16S ribosomal RNA
Rfam family: Bacterial small subunit ribosomal RNA
Source: RNAcentral
UACGUAGGGUGCAAGCGUUGUCCGGAAUUAUUGGGCGUAAAGAGCUCGUAGGCGGUCUGUCGCGUCGGCUGUGAAGACCCGGAGCUCAACUCCGGGCCUGCAGUCGAUACGGGCAGACUGGAGUUCGGCAGGGGAGACUGGAAUUCCUGGUGUAGCAGUGAAAUGCGCAGAUAUCAGGAGGAACACCGGUGGCGAAGGCGGGUCUCUGGGCCGAUACUGACGCUGAGGAGCGAAAGCGUGGGGAGCGAACAGG